AACGAACGCUGGCGGCAGGCCUAACACAUGCAAGUCGAGCGCCCCGCAAGGGGAGCGGCGGACGGGUGAGUAACGCGUGGGAACGUACCCUUUGCUACGGAAUAGCCUCGGGAAACUGGGAGUAAUACCGUAUGUGUCCUUCGGGAGAAAGAUUUAUCGGCAAGGGAUCGGCCCGCGUUGGAUUAGGUAGUUGGUGGGGUAAUGGCCUACCAAGCCGACGAUCCAUAGCUGGUUUGAGAGGAUGAUCAGCCACACUGGGACUGAGACACGGCCCAGACUCCUACGGGAGGCAGCAGUGGGGAAUCUUAGACAAUGGGUGCAAGCCUGAUCUAGCCAUGCCGCGUGAGCGAUGAAGGCCUUAGGGUUGUAAAGCUCUUUCAGGGGGGAAGAUAAUGACUGUACCCCCAGAAGAAGCCCCGGCUAACUCCGUG
RNAcentral lists this ribosomal RNA (431 nucleotides) under uncultured bacterium. RNAcentral's name for it is "partial 16S ribosomal RNA". It matches the Rfam family "Bacterial small subunit ribosomal RNA", at positions 29 to 507 of the family's 1533-position model. The record is from RNAcentral.